RNAcentral lists this ribosomal RNA (707 nucleotides) under uncultured Limnohabitans sp. RNAcentral describes it as "bacterial SSU rRNA". It matches the Rfam family "Bacterial small subunit ribosomal RNA", at positions 148 to 851 of the family's 1533-position model. Lineage: Bacteria; Pseudomonadati; Pseudomonadota; Betaproteobacteria; Burkholderiales; Comamonadaceae. The record is from RNAcentral.
GUAGCGAAAGUUACGCUAAUACCGCAUACGAUCUACGGAUGAAAGCGGGGGAUCGCAAGACCUCGCGCGAUUGGAGCGGCCGAUAUCAGAUUAGGUAGUUGGUGAGGUAAAGGCUCACCAAGCCAACGAUCUGUAGCUGGUCUGAGAGGACGACCAGCCACACUGGAACUGAGACACGGUCCAGACUCCUACGGGAGGCAGCAGUGGGGAAUUUUGGACAAUGGACGCAAGUCUGAUCCAGCCAUUCCGCGUGCAGGAUGAAGGCCCUCGGGUUGUAAACUGCUUUUGUACGGAACGAAAAGGUUUCUCUUAAUACGAGGAGCUCAUGACGGUACCGUAAGAAUAAGCACCGGCUAACUACGUGCCAGCAGCCGCGGUAAUACGUAGGGUGCGAGCGUUAAUCGGAAUUACUGGGCGUAAAGCGUGCGCAGGCGGUUAUAUAAGACAGAUGUGAAAUCCCCGGGCUCAACCUGGGAACUGCAUUUGUGACUGUAUAGCUAGAGUACGGUAGAGGGGGAUGGAAUUCCGCGUGUAGCAGUGAAAUGCGUAGAUAUGCGGAGGAACACCGAUGGCGAAGGCAAUCCCCUGGGCCUGCACUGACGCUCAUGCACGAAAGCGUGGGGAGCAAACAGGAUUAGAUACCCUGGUAGUCCACGCCCUAAACGAUGUCAACUGGUUGUUGGGUCUUCACUGACUCAGUAACGAAG